UUGUGCUUUAUGACCAACGCUUCUCCUUUCUUCUUCUCUAUUCUCUAUUUGUUGCAGUAGGUGUUACAAAGAAGGACAUGGCCAAACAUGAGAUAUAUUUUUCCUUCUAUUUCCUGUUCGGUUCUUCUCUUCCUUUUAGACAAGAACUCGAAAAAAUUGAACUUUCAUUUUGUUCUCGUUGUUCUUGGUAGACUUAUUUCCUAUGGUGGGUUGGGAGUUUGAUUGAAAAAUUUCCUUCUGUCUGGGGUUUUAAAUUUCUUCUUGGUAGAUUUAAAAUUUACUUUUGUGGGUUGAGAGUUUUGAUUGAAAUUCCUACAUCUCUCAAGGUUUUUAAGUUUCUUCUUGGUAGAUUUACUAUUUAUUUUUGUUGAUUGAGUGUUUAAUUGAAAGUCCUAUAUCUCUCAAGGUUUUUAAGUUUCUUGUUGGUAGAUUUAUUUAGUUUUGUCGGUGGGAGUUUGAUUGAAAAUAUGAAGAUUUGUGACUCAUUAGAAGGGUGAAGCCAACAUUACUAAUGGUGAUGGUGCAAACAAUAUUUGCUGGAAUCAAUAUUGUUUAUAAAAUGACUGCAAAAGAUGGAACAAAGUUGUCUUUUUUGGGGCUAUGGAUUCAUGUUUGGCCUGGUUUUUUGGUUUCGGUUGCCCUCUUGGUUAAAAGGUUCUAAUGCAUAUAUAUUUCAAUUUUUAAAUUUACAAGAAAGAAUAUUUAAUUCAAUGGUAAUUGUCUUGGAGUUUUUCCCCCAUUCACAUCUAGGAUUUAUGAAUCUCACAAAAAUUUUGAAAAUCUUAUAGCUAAAAUGUACAC
Molecule: long non-coding RNA, 801 nt
Filed under: Olea europaea (common olive)
Lineage: Eukaryota; Viridiplantae; Streptophyta; Magnoliopsida; Lamiales; Oleaceae
Description: long non-coding RNA (OEUR_LNC014095)
Source: RNAcentral